RNAcentral lists this long non-coding RNA (667 nucleotides) under Arabidopsis thaliana (thale cress). RNAcentral's name for it is "long non-coding RNA (ATHA_LNC000306)". Lineage: Eukaryota; Viridiplantae; Streptophyta; Magnoliopsida; Brassicales; Brassicaceae. The record is from RNAcentral.
AGAAGAAGAAGAAGCAGAGACAACAAGAAGAAGAAGAAACAGUCUCAUCUCGCCGGAGAAGAAGAAAGAUGUCGUGGCAAUCAUACGUCGAUGACCAUCUCAUGUGCGAGGUCGAAGGCAACCACCUCACACACGCCGCCAUCUUCGGCCAAGACGGCAGUGUCUGGGCUCAGAGCUCAGCUUUCCCUCAGGUUUUUCUUCCUUCUUCUUCGCGUUUCUUCCGAUCCUCUGUCUCAAAUAAGUUCAUCGAUCUGAUUCAAUCGUCUGAUUUAGGUUUAUUCCUUGUGAUCCGAUCUGAGGAAACUUGGAUCUGGUUUUGAUUUGCUAGCUUCUGACUUGUUCUCUCUGACAAUCUGAUUUUCUCAGUGAUUGAUUGGAGUUUGAUUCUGAGAUUUUCAUGGUUUCAGUAGUCAAAUCUUGUCUAUAGGUGUUUUGCUUGGCACAGAAUCUUAUCUCCUUUCAAUUCAUCAAAUGAUAAAACUUUUCACCAAAUUCUUCAAAAUUUGGUAUUUUACUUGAAUUUGAGAUCUUAGGGUCAUUGCAUAUGAAUUGUCACCUCUGCUCAGUAUUGUAUAAACCAUGUAAAGGAUCUGUUGUAUUGGUAGUAGUAUCAUUGCUCAGUCGGUUGAAGCUAAUUGCCUACUUUGUUGUUCUUGUUCAUGUAUUU